Molecule: long non-coding RNA, 272 nt
Filed under: Nicotiana benthamiana
Lineage: Eukaryota; Viridiplantae; Streptophyta; Magnoliopsida; Solanales; Solanaceae
Description: long non-coding RNA (NBEN_LNC015646)
Source: RNAcentral
AUAUCAACAAAAAUUGUGUGUUACACUAAUAAAAAUCAUUGGGGAAAAGGGGGAUAAAUUUUUAAUAUAGCUAGGAAGUGUGGAGGCAUAUGACAAAAAGAAAAAAUCCAAAGUACUUUAUCCACGAUAUUGAAAAUAAACUACUGCUACAUCCUAAGAAAUUAAAGAAUGAUAGACGACAACUAUUUGAUACAAAAUUCAAUAAACAAAAUAAGGCAAAAAAAAUCUCCUUUGGCUUGGGAUCUGGUUACCAAGGAAGAGAAAAAGUUAUA